AUUCGUCAAACUCUAGACAACGUUUUGUUGCCUUUUUAAUUUCCGUGAAAUGAGUAAAAACAUUGAAAUCACUUUGAUAGGCAUUUUUUUUUUUUGUUAUGUGCAAACUAGUCAGUGAACAAAUUUCACGAUUUCCCCGAUAAAUCUGAAUUCAACUGUAUGUAACGCUGAUUUCGUUUAUCGUAAGGGGGCACCCUUAUACUUGUGUAUAUCGUAUUGUGCCAAGUGCGUUAUCGUUUAAAAUGUCCAUUCGUGUGUUGUUGUCGGAAAGAGUGCGUUUUUGUGCAUGCACGGUACGCCACCAUACAAUUAUGUACGGUCCGGAUGUCACAGGGCUGCUCCCUCGUUGUGGUACAAUAAACUACCGCCAAAACGCAGGCUCGCGGAGACUUACUACUAAAAUGUAUAGUUAUUCGAAAGUGGACAUUUUCCAGUUGACAAAUUCUCGGUUUUUACCUAUCAAAAAACUCGUUAAUACCGCGUUACCCUAUGUAUCGGGAGCGUCUUAAUCCCGUUGAUUCUCCACUGACAUGCAGCAGCGCCAUUGAAAAACACUACGAAAACAAAUCGUUCGAUAUAUUGUUUGGCGAACACCCGACGGGCGUUAAUAUUAAAUAUUGGUACGUAUACCAUAGUCUUAUGGAGAUAAUAAUUAAAACUUUUACUGCACACAUCUGUCUUUCUGUAGUUUCCUGCGUUUGUGCGCAGUGCACGCGUAUAGGAUAAUAUAAAUACUUACAAAUUUCGUUUGAUAAUAACAAUGAUAAACGACGUCGAAUAAAAUUAUUGUCCGCGCACCGCUGCCGCAGCGUAAACAAUGUUCCAAAGAAUAUAAGUUUCAAAAAG
This is a non-coding RNA of Cinara cedri, 846 nucleotides long. The record is from the annotation of a GenBank genome assembly. Lineage: Eukaryota; Metazoa; Arthropoda; Insecta; Hemiptera; Aphididae.